Molecule: non-coding RNA, 261 nt
Organism: Vicia faba (fava bean)
Lineage: Eukaryota; Viridiplantae; Streptophyta; Magnoliopsida; Fabales; Fabaceae
Source: the annotation of a GenBank genome assembly
AUGUUUGCUUCUCCGUUGUUUAUAAUUAAAUUGGUUAUUCAGACAAAGAGUGUUGAAUUCAUGCCAUUUUAUCUCUCCCUUUCCACCUUCCUAAUGAGCACGUCUUUUUUAACUUACGGAUUACUCAGCGAUGAUAUCUUCAUUUAUCUGCCAAAUGGGAUAGGAACCAUUUUGGGAGUGACUCAGUUGAUAUUAUAUUUCCACUAUGAGAGUAAAUCUAGGAUAGACGCCGAAGAACCAUUGAUCGUGUCAUAUGCAUGA